RNAcentral lists this ribosomal RNA (431 nucleotides) under uncultured bacterium. Its description in RNAcentral is "bacterial SSU rRNA". It matches the Rfam family "Bacterial small subunit ribosomal RNA", at positions 29 to 459 of the family's 1533-position model. The record is from RNAcentral.
AUUGAACGCUGGCGGCGUGCCUAACACAUGCAAGUCGAGCGGUAACAGGUGUAGCAAUACAUGCUGACGAGCGGCGGACGGGUGAGUAACGCUUGGGAAUCUGCCUAUUAGUGGGGGACAACCCGGGGAAACUCGGGCUAAUACCGCAUACGCUCUACGGAGGAAAGCCGGGGACCGCAAGGCCUGGCGCUAAUAGAUGAGCCCAAGUCGGAUUAGCUAGUUGGUAGGGUAAUGGCCUACCAAGGCGACGAUCCGUAACUGGUCUGAGAGGACGACCAGUCACACCGGAACUGAGACACGGUCCGGACUCCUACGGGAGGCAGCAGUGGGGAAUAUUGGACAAUGGGCGAAAGCCUGAUCCAGCGAUGCCGCGUGUGUGAAGAAGGCCUGCGGGUUGUAAAGCACUUUCAGUAGGGAAGAAAAGACCGAGU